RNAcentral lists this long non-coding RNA (598 nucleotides) under Anas platyrhynchos platyrhynchos (common mallard). RNAcentral's name for it is "lncRNA (ENSAPLG00000017057.1)". The record is from RNAcentral. Lineage: Eukaryota; Metazoa; Chordata; Aves; Anseriformes; Anatidae.
UUACAAAAAGAAGGCACUUUAUUUAAGAGAAAUUCAUUUUACAAGUCAUCUUCUUUAUAAAUUUCAGGUAAAAUUUUGGAAAGGAAAAGAAAUGAAAAAGGCUGCUGAAAGAAUCUUUGCACAGAAAGUUGUUUUUAAGCUGAGGUCAAAAACUUGAAUAGCAUUUUUCAUUUUACGUGCAUCAUGAAGAAUGCAGAUCCUCAUUGUUGCAUUAUCAGUGAAUUUCAAGCCAUGCAAUUUUCCCCUAGAGAAGAAAUUCACCCAGUUGAAAAGGAUGAAUGAAUAUCGCUGGGUCAAAAAAUAUUGUAGCUGCCACCCUCCGUGAUUAGGAUUCUAUUCACUGUUGCCUUUCUGCAGAAUUCAAGAGCAACCUUCAGCACAAACGUGUUCUGAAAAGCAGUUGCUGAUGUCUUUCUAAAGCAAGAAGAGGUAAAUAACACUACUCUUGUGUGAUAUAGCUGCAUGACUGCAGUUAUCUGGGAAGGCAGGAAAAGCAGUAGUAUAUCUAAUCAGAUUUCCUGUACUUCUACAACAUCAUUUUCCAUGCUUAAGCAGAUGUAUCAGAACAAAAGAGACUGGCAGCAACUGUAAAAUAAAG